RNAcentral lists this ribosomal RNA (255 nucleotides) under uncultured bacterium. RNAcentral's name for it is "partial 16S ribosomal RNA". It matches the Rfam family "Bacterial small subunit ribosomal RNA", at positions 186 to 428 of the family's 1533-position model. The record is from RNAcentral.
GCAUACGCCCUACGGGAGAAAGCAGGGGACCUUCGGGCCUUGCGCUAUCAGAUGAGCCUAGGUCGGAUUAGCUAGUUGGUGAGGUAAUGGCUCACCAAGGCGACGAUCCGUAACUGGUCUGAGAGGAUGAUCAGUCACACUGGAACUGAGACACGGUCCAGACUCCUACGGGAGGCAGCAGUGGGGAAUAUUGGACCGUGGGCGAAAGCCUGAUCCAGCCAAGCCGCGUGUGUGAAGAAGGUCUUCGGAUUGUAA